Long non-coding RNA from Sander lucioperca (pikeperch), 120 nucleotides. RefSeq lists it as uncharacterized. The record is from RefSeq and is a predicted model, not a curated record. Lineage: Eukaryota; Metazoa; Chordata; Actinopteri; Perciformes; Percidae. The transcript has 3 exons.
UACUCUUGUUAUGGUUAACAAGAGUACAAAGUCACAUGUUCCUGCGGGGCCCGUGGUGGAUGAGAUGGUAAAGAAAUAUGGUCCUGCCUGUUUUUUUUUUUUUCUUUUUCUAACCGCUCU